Molecule: ribosomal RNA, 160 nt
Filed under: Ursus maritimus (polar bear)
Lineage: Eukaryota; Metazoa; Chordata; Mammalia; Carnivora; Ursidae
Description: 5.8S ribosomal RNA (ENSUMAG00000002318.1)
Rfam family: 5.8S ribosomal RNA
About the family: 5.8S ribosomal RNA (5.8S rRNA) is a component of the large subunit of the eukaryotic ribosome. It is transcribed by RNA polymerase I as part of the 45S precursor that also contains 18S and 28S rRNA. Functionally, it is thought that 5.8S rRNA may be involved in ribosome translocation.
Source: RNAcentral
AACUUCUAGUGGUGGAUCGCUCGGCUCGUGGGUCGAUGAAGACCGCAGCAAAAUGCGUGUCGGCAUGUGAAUCGCAAGAUUACCAGAUGCAUCGACCAGUUGAACGCACAUUGCGGCGACUUCACUACCCAGUGUUGUCGCCACUCCCAGACGAGUGUCU